GUGUGUGUGUGUGCAGCGCGGUCUUCUAUGUGUAUGAGAGAGAGAGGGAGCGAGAAAGAGGAGAGAGAGAGAGAGGGAAAGAGAGAAGGGUGUGCGUGAAUGAGUGUCUGCGCGUCCGCUGCUCGGCGCUCCGGGCGCAGCGGUUGCCGAACCUGCCAUGGGCAGGGUGUGGGUCUGGGGAGAGAGAGAGAGAGAGAGAGAGAGAGAGAGAGAGAGAGUUAAAGCGAGGGAGGAAGAGGGUCGGUUACCCCGGGGCCAAAGCCAGAGCCGUUGCGCACCGCUUGCGCCCGCCUAGGGAUCCAGCCAGCCAGCCGAGCGCUAAGGAAGGUGGCCAAGGCAACUCGCCCUGCGCUGCCCUGCGGGAGAGGCUGCGCCCCUGCCCUGCUGUCCUCUCCGCAGUGGGGGGAAGAGAAGAAAGCUGGAACUGUGGCUCUGGUGAUUCGCCUCCAAGUGGUGGCUAAGCUCUGUGGACAGAAGUGUUUCCUUUUUCCUAGCCCAUCUCUUGUUAUCAGAUGGACAUGCUGGUGGCCUGCAGAUGUUUGAAGGCUGGAAACUCAGUUAGAUGAUGGGCUGAUCCAAAAAGGCCAACCAGUUUGCUGGUCCCUGGACAGUUUGCUGCAAACUUCUUCUGGAUUAGCCAAUCCUCAACAAAUAUUUGGUCUUGCUUGUAUCUCCUCUCCUCAUUCUUUACUGGAGAGCCUUCUGGAUAAAGUCCUUCCCCCCACCCCACCCAAUAAGAAAGGAGAUGCUCUCCUUAAUAUGCCACAAAUUACAAGGUGAGGCUAAUGCUAAUCAUGUUGGAUUAAGGAAAUCCUAUUAAAAUUAAUUCAUCUGGCAAAAUUAAAUUUCCUGAUUUUCAAUAUGUGACCGAUCUGUUCCUUAAAGAAAGAGAGAGAUAAAAUCAGCAAAGAAAACUAGCAGGCCCCAUACAAUGUAAAUGAGCCUGCAUUUGAUAUUCAGCUGGCCGGGAAGGGGGGGGGGCUUCUUUUCUAAAAUCAGAGCAGCGUGAGCUCAAGCCUGCUGAGAAGUCAUGUAGUGGGGCUUGGAAACUGCAGCCCCUAACCCCAGGUCCCUGUGCCAUGGUAAAGGAAAAUGCAAGCAACAUGUCAGUAGGAGGAAAGUGUGGUGUGGUGGUUAGAGUGCUGGACUCAGGAAACCAAGACUCAAAUCCCUUUUCAACCAUAAAGCUCCAUGGGUAGCCUUGGGCCAGUCAUAGUCUCUUAGCCUAACUCGGCAGGGUGGUUGUGAAGAUUAAAAUGGCAGGGGAGGAGAAUUGUGUGCGUCACUUUGAGUUACUUAGAAGAAAGGUGGGAUACUAAAGUAAUAAAUAAACAAGACACACACCCAGAGACAAUUUCUGUGCUCAGAUACUUUCAAGGUGACAUUGUG
Molecule: long non-coding RNA, 1389 nt
Organism: Podarcis raffonei (Aeolian wall lizard)
Lineage: Eukaryota; Metazoa; Chordata; Lepidosauria; Squamata; Lacertidae
Exons: 2
Source: RefSeq, a predicted model, not a curated record